GAACGCACAUUGCGCCUCCGGGUAUUCCUGGAGGCAUGCCUGUUCGAGCGUCGUUUAAACCAUAAGGCUUUGCCUUGCGAUGACACUUGGGUUUCCGUAAGGGAGUCCAUAUGUUCAAACAUAUUGGCAUUUGAAGUUGGCCCAACGCAGCAAAAUGUGUGACGUCCUUCGAAAUGAUGCCUGUAUUUCAAAAGAAAUGGAUUUGGAAACAGAAACAUUUUUUUUACAUAGUGGUCGACCGCGGAUCAGGCAAGAUUACCCGCUGAACUUA
RNAcentral lists this unclassified non-coding RNA (271 nucleotides) under uncultured fungus. Its description in RNAcentral is "sequence contains 5.8S rRNA gene". The stretch from base 1 to 53 matches the Rfam family "5.8S ribosomal RNA", at positions 102 to 154 of the family's 154-position model. Lineage: Eukaryota; Fungi. The record is from RNAcentral.